CCUACGGGUGGCAGCAGUGGGGAAUAUUGGGCAAUGGACGAAACUCUGACCCAGCAACGUCGCGUGAAUGAUGAAGGCCCUCGGAUUGUUAAGCUCUUUUUUAAGGGAAGAAGAAAGUGACGGUACCUUAUGAAUAAACCUCGGCUAACUAUGUGCCAGCAGCCGCGGUAAUCCGGAGGCGGCGAGCGUUAUGCGGAAUGACUGGGUGUAAAGGGUGCGUAGGUGGGUUGGCAAGUUAGUAGGGUAACUCCGAGGCUCAACCGUAGAAUUACAACUAAAACUGGUGGACUUGAGUACAGGUGAGGCAGGCGGAAUUCGUGGUGUAGCGGUGAAAUGCGUAGAUAUUACGAAGAACCCCGAUUGCGAAGGCAGCUUACUAAACUGUAACUGACAUUGAGGCACGAAAGCGUGGGUAGCAAACAGGAUUAGAUACCCUUGUAGUC
Molecule: ribosomal RNA, 443 nt
Filed under: uncultured bacterium
Lineage: Bacteria
Description: partial 16S ribosomal RNA
Rfam family: Bacterial small subunit ribosomal RNA
Source: RNAcentral